Molecule: ribosomal RNA, 2904 nt
Filed under: Escherichia coli DEC13C
Lineage: Bacteria; Pseudomonadati; Pseudomonadota; Gammaproteobacteria; Enterobacterales; Enterobacteriaceae
Description: bacterial LSU rRNA
Rfam family: Bacterial large subunit ribosomal RNA
Source: RNAcentral
UUAAGCGACUAAGCGUACACGGUGGAUGCCCUGGCAGUCAGAGGCGAUGAAGGACGUGCUAAUCUGCGAUAAGCGUCGGUAAGGUGAUAUGAACCGUUAUAACCGGCGAUUUCCGAAUGGGGGAAACCCAGUGUGUUUCGACACACUAUCAUUAACUGAAUCCAUAGGUUAAUGAGGCGAACCGGGGGAACUGAAACAUCUAAGUACCCCGAGGAAAAGAAAUCAACCGAGAUUCCCCCAGUAGCGGCGAGCGAACGGGGAGCAGCCCAGAGCCUGAAUCAGUGUGUGUGUUAGUGGAAGCGUCUGGAAAGGCGCGCGAUACAGGGUGACAGCCCCGUACACAAAAAUGCACAUGCUGUGAGCUCGAUGAGUAGGGCGGGACACGUGGUAUCCUGUCUGAAUAUGGGGGGACCAUCCUCCAAGGCUAAAUACUCCUGACUGACCGAUAGUGAACCAGUACCGUGAGGGAAAGGCGAAAAGAACCCCGGCGAGGGGAGUGAAAAAGAACCUGAAACCGUGUACGUACAAGCAGUGGGAGCACAGAGCAAUCUGUGUGACUGCGUACCUUUUGUAUAAUGGGUCAGCGACUUAUAUUCUGUAGCAAGGUUAACCGAAUAGGGGAGCCGAAGGGAAACCGAGUCUUAACUGGGCGUUAAGUUGCAGGGUAUAGACCCGAAACCCGGUGAUCUAGCCAUGGGCAGGUUGAAGGUUGGGUAACACUAACUGGAGGACCGAACCGACUAAUGUUGAAAAAUUAGCGGAUGACUUGUGGCUGGGGGUGAAAGGCCAAUCAAACCGGGAGAUAGCUGGUUCUCCCCGAAAGCUAUUUAGGUAGCGCCUCGUGAAUUCAUCUCCGGGGGUAGAGCACUGUUUCGGCAAGGGGGUCAUCCCGACUUACCAACCCGAUGCAAACUGCGAAUACCGGAGAAUGUUAUCACGGGAGACACACGGCGGGUGCUAACGUCCGUCGUGAAGAGGGAAACAACCCAGACCGCCAGCUAAGGUCCCAAAGUCAUGGUUAAGUGGGAAACGAUGUGGGAAGGCCCAGACAGCCAGGAUGUUGGCUUAGAAGCAGCCAUCAUUUAAAGAAAGCGUAAUAGCUCACUGGUCGAGUCGGCCUGCGCGGAAGAUGUAACGGGGCUAAACCAUGCACCGAAGCUGCGGCAGCGACGCUUAUGCGUUGUUGGGUAGGGGAGCGUUCUGUAAGCCUGCGAAGGUGUGCUGUGAGGCAUGCUGGAGGUAUCAGAAGUGCGAAUGCUGACAUAAGUAACGAUAAAGCGGGUGAAAAGCCCGCUCGCCGGAAGACCAAGGGUUCCUGUCCAACGUUAAUCGGGGCAGGGUGAGUCGACCCCUAAGGCGAGGCCGAAAGGCGUAGUCGAUGGGAAACAGGUUAAUAUUCCUGUACUUGGUGUUACUGCGAAGGGGGGACGGAGAAGGCUAUGUUGGCCGGGCGACGGUUGUCCCGGUUUAAGCGUGUAGGCUGGUUUUCCAGGCAAAUCCGGAAAAUCAAGGCUGAGGCGUGAUGACGAGGCACUACGGUGCUGAAGCAACAAAUGCCCUGCUUCCAGGAAAAGCCUCUAAGCAUCAGGUAACAUCAAAUCGUACCCCAAACCGACACAGGUGGUCAGGUAGAGAAUACCAAGGCGCUUGAGAGAACUCGGGUGAAGGAACUAGGCAAAAUGGUGCCGUAACUUCGGGAGAAGGCACGCUGAUAUGUAGGUGAAGUCCCUCGCGGAUGGAGCUGAAAUCAGUCGAAGAUACCAGCUGGCUGCAACUGUUUAUUAAAAACACAGCACUGUGCAAACACGAAAGUGGACGUAUACGGUGUGACGCCUGCCCGGUGCCGGAAGGUUAAUUGAUGGGGUUAGCGCAAGCGAAGCUCUUGAUCGAAGCCCCGGUAAACGGCGGCCGUAACUAUAACGGUCCUAAGGUAGCGAAAUUCCUUGUCGGGUAAGUUCCGACCUGCACGAAUGGCGUAAUGAUGGCCAGGCUGUCUCCACCCGAGACUCAGUGAAAUUGAACUCGCUGUGAAGAUGCAGUGUACCCGCGGCAAGACGGAAAGACCCCGUGAACCUUACUAUAGCUUGACACUGAACAUUGAGCCUUGAUGUGUAGGAUAGGUGGGAGGCUUUGAAGUGUGGACGCCAGUCUGCAUGGAGCCGACCUUGAAAUACCACCCUUUAAUGUUUGAUGUUCUAACGUGGACCCGUAAUCCGGGUUGCGGACAGUGUCUGGUGGGUAGUUUGACUGGGGCGGUCUCCUCCUAAAGAGUAACGGAGGAGCACGAAGGUUGGCUAAUCCUGGUCGGACAUCAGGAGGUUAGUGCAAUGGCAUAAGCCAGCUUGACUGCGAGCGUGACGGCGCGAGCAGGUGCGAAAGCAGGUCAUAGUGAUCCGGUGGUUCUGAAUGGAAGGGCCAUCGCUCAACGGAUAAAAGGUACUCCGGGGAUAACAGGCUGAUACCGCCCAAGAGUUCAUAUCGACGGCGGUGUUUGGCACCUCGAUGUCGGCUCAUCACAUCCUGGGGCUGAAGUAGGUCCCAAGGGUAUGGCUGUUCGCCAUUUAAAGUGGUACGCGAGCUGGGUUUAGAACGUCGUGAGACAGUUCGGUCCCUAUCUGCCGUGGGCGCUGGAGAAUUGAGGGGGGCUGCUCCUAGUACGAGAGGACCGGAGUGGACGCAUCACUGGUGUUCGGGUUGUCAUGCCAAUGGCACUGCCCGGUAGCUAAAUGCGGAAGAGAUAAGUGCUGAAAGCAUCUAAGCACGAAACUUGCCCCGAGAUGAGUUCUCCCUGACUCCUUGAGAGUCCUGAAGGAACGUUGAAGACGACGACGUUGAUAGGCCGGGUGUGUAAGCGCAGCGAUGCGUUGAGCUAACCGGUACUAAUGAACCGUGAGGCUUAACCUU